AAGGAAGUCCACAUGGCCAAAAGUUUAAAAUCAUGUCUGACCCCCACCUCCUGGACUUCAUGGUCCUACUCUGGCAGAUUCGGCGCAGUGAAAGUUCCGCUGGCUAUGGAGGAGUCAGAUGGAGGACGUGGUGGACCUCCCAGGGGUGCUGCGGUCACGUCACCAUCUCUCUGUGCCUGCUAUGUGCUGCCCAGACAGCAAAGGGCUCCCUCCCUGCUGGCCUCCAAUUCCAGAUAAGUUCAGAUCUUGCCACACAGGAAACCGUAGCUUGUGGGAGACGACUGCCCUGGAGAUAUCCCUUGGUCAGGAUGGAACUUGCCUUUCAUCCGAAGCAUGACUGUAAGAUGUUUGGUAGCUAAAUGUACCCACUUUCUUUACAGGGCCCCACAAUGCUGAGCCCCACAAUGCACCCACAAGCUCUGGUUGCUGCUCCUCAGAUCCCUCCCCUGACUGCUCCAAAACCCAGUGCCUGACCCCACAAAAUCUUGCUUGUUUACCCCAUAAUUUUCUUUUUGGAACCCAGUUUUUGUUUUUUGGCUUGCGUUUAAUAGUACCAGGGAUCGAACCCUGCUUUGAAAAGAGAAGAGCGCUCCCCGCACCGCAGUAGCCCUCCAGCCACGCACAGUGCCCAGACCAGGGAGCUGGUUUCUGAAGAGCUGACCCCAUGGAACAAGCAUGGAGGCGGGGCCCCGGGGACAGGCGGGCAGGGCCCUCCCAGGAUCCCAGGCUGUGGCCAAGGGUGCUGUGGAUGGGGCUGUGGGUCCCCUGUGUGCAGGGGUAGCUCUGUGUCCACAUGUGGCUUGCGUGGGUGUGCAGUGUCAGUCUGUAUUUGCCCGGAUCUGUCUGUGGUGUCUGUGUGUCUGGGUGGCCUCUGUGUACUUGCUAGGACAGAGGUGCAUGCAGGGGUGUGAGCCUGGGUGUGUGAGAUGUGUCGGUUGGUGGUGUGGUGGGUAUGUGAUGUCCGUGUGGUGUGUGGUCAAGUUUCAGGGUGUGUGCGAGUGUGUCCAAGUAUGGUGUAUGGCACUUGCAUCUGCCAGUGUGCCUGUGUGGCUCAUGUUUACACCUGGCACGGGGAUUCAUCCAUCUCAGGGACUCCUGGGAUGCCCCGGCUUCUGCUCUCACACAUCUCCUCCUGGUUUGCAGGAUGAGGGUCUGAGGCUCAGCCGUGCUCCCCAUAUGACAAAGAGGGACUGGGGGUGCAGAGGGGUGUGCAGCAAAGUCGCAAAACAAGUUGGUGACUGGAGCUAAGGCCGGGACCAUUUCUUCAGAUUCACAGUGCAAUGAAUGUAUUGGCCAUGGUGGCGCACGCCUAUAAUCCCAGCAUUUGGGAGGCUGAGGCAGGAGGAUUGAUAUGAGUUUAAGGCCAGCCUGUGUCUGUCUCACACACACACACACACACAAACACACAAUGCAAUAUGCUCUCUCCUGGUCCGCACAGGGAGGUAAGGACAAUCUUCUAGGCUCCGAUCACAUGGAAGGACCUUGCUGGGAUUCAGGGUGAGUGCCUUGGACACUGGGUAGGAAGUGGUGCAACAGAACCUUGAAUGGAGGUUGACAGACAACUCAGAGAAGAUACGGGCUUUGUAUGAUGAGGCAAAGCUGAAGACAUUUUGUAGGUAGUUAUUAACCCACACAGAAUCCAGUAACUUGAAUGCUACUUGAAUGCUUUAUGAAUCAUUUUAUCUUUCCUGGCCAUAUGGCCUGUAGGUCUAUGCAGGUUAAAUAGGAAGAGACAUCAAAGUAAAGAAUGGAACCAGACAGAGGCACAGAUGAGAGGGUCAGAGCCACAGAGGAGAUCACAGAGCAGGGAGGGGCGGCUGACAGGCCACAGGUUGGCCUUUGGAGGUGGGACGAAGUCCCAGGCAUAUGAACCUCAGUCAUAAAGGGUUGGCAGGGGAGAGAUCUGUGGAGAGAAAGACUGUGGAGGCCAGUGCGCCCAUGGGAGGAGCCAUACUGGCCAUGGGCCUCACCUGCAGCUCGUCCGGCUUUUCAUGAAGGGGACCCUCACUGCAGGUCUCAUCGCUAUGGUCCCCGUGCUGACCCUGUGCCCAGGCCUGAAGGCUUCGCUCACUGUCUCAUGUGUUCACCUCGUGAGCUGCAGGCAAAGACAACAGUCAUGGCCACUUUCGAGGCACCUACCCCAGAUGGACCCUCCCUUACCAGAGCGCACCCAUCGCUUCCCCGGAGGCCCCAAUGCCAGCCGCCUCAGGAAUGGAGAAUCGAAGUCUGGUGGGCACCUGGCCUCAUGGGAAGUUAACAGUUUCCAUGACGACAGGGUUGUGGUCCCUCUGAAGGCUGGUGACUAGUGACAGUGGAGAAGAGAAGACCCCUUGGGCCACACCGAGCUGUCCAUUCGGUUGUCCAUCUCGUGUGGAAGGAGAAAAUUGUGUACCGGUCUCCACAGACAGAGCAGGCUCCUGAGGGCGGGACUUUUAGAUUUCCACCAUUUUAUUUAUUCCUGACAUUCAGCAGAGCACAAUAAUAUUCUUUAAUUCAUUGGCUUGUUUGUCUUACCAUGGAGCUCAGGCUGGCCAAGGCCCCCCAGCCUCAGCUCCCCAAGUGCUUGAUUUUACAGGCAUGCGCCACCACGCCCAGCUUUGAAUGAAUUAUUUUUCUUGUGGUAAUGAGCGAGGAUGGAAUCCAGCGCCUUACAAGACAGGCAAGUGAACUACCACUGAGCAGCAAACACUUUACCUAAUUCUGUACUUUGCUUUAGGAAGGACGGUCAGGGGCUGGCUGGAGAGCUGGAGGGAAACAGGGGAGCCCUUGCACGCAUCUUGGGCGUGAUCUGAAUGCUGACGACAGUCCCAGCAUGGCGUGGGGGUUGGGAUCUUCUUCAACAGUUGGACGAGACAGUCAGCUCCCAGGGCUUGCUCGAGAACAAAGAAACACAGUGGCGGGACAGUGGCGACUAGUACAGUUUCAUUCAGAGGCUCUGAGACACCAGGUUAAGGGUGAAUGAGGAUGGUGUUCAUGACUGGAAUAAUGGCCAGCUCGUGGACAAGUGUGGGGUGGACCCUUCCGUGUCAAGACGGUGGCUCCUUUGUUGUCUUUUCUUUUUGCUGAAUCCUGAGCCAGCCCAGACCUCUCUCAGAAGUGGCUUUCCUUUCAUUCAAGGCUUAAAACUUAAAGCAUCAAGCAGCAGUUGCCCCCUCCCGGUCUGGUUUUGCCUGGGGAAAGGCAGCAAGGAACACGUACCGGAAACCGGGACACAGUGCUCCACGCCAAGCAAACUGUCAGGACUGAGUGCAUGUGCAGAAUGGCUCCAGGCAGGCACUGACCUGGGCAGCAAGUCCGAAGGUUCAAAGUCUUCAUCACCCAAUUCCUGACCCCUCUUGCAUCAGCACAGAGAUUAGGCAGUGUGGUGGUGCACACCUGUAAUCCCAGCACUCAGGAGGCUGAAGCAGGAGGGUCCCUGUGAGUUUGAGACCAGCCUGGACUACACAGUAAGAUGUUGUCUCCUAACAAAACCAAAACCACUAAGACCAAAACUCUGUCCCUCCCUUUCAUCAGGGAAAGUGUACAGGUGUGAUGUUUCUCACCUAAGAACCUGCCUCUCUUCCUCCAAAAGGAGAAGGAUUUCUAAGCUAACAGAGAUGGAAAAAAAAAAAAAAAAAGAAAAGAAAAGAAAAGUAUUACAUGAGUUCUUGGAAUAAUGGCAGGGUUUUAAAGGAAUUCUCAUCUGGGGGAUUAGGUGACACGAGAGGCAAGGCUUUGCUAAAUCCUUCUCUUGGAAAGUGUGCACCCCAGGCUUUUGGAAGCAGCAGAUUCAAGGAGCACAUGUCGUCUUGGCCGCCCAGAUCACACAAAGGGCCAUCGCUGGAGCCUCUCUACGCUUGCAGCAAGUCCUGGGCUCAUGCGUAGGGUUCCAGGCCUCCUGGUGAGCAGGAGAAUGGUGUCCCCUUUUCUGGGGACAGGUCCUUCCCUACCCUUCUCAUUUGCAUCUUACAAGGCUCUUGGAUGCCAGAUCCCCAAACCUAAGAAGUGUUUAUUAAACAAAUGUCACCAGGGCCUUGAUGCUC
This is a long non-coding RNA of Fukomys damarensis (Damara mole-rat), 4022 nucleotides long. RefSeq lists it as uncharacterized. Lineage: Eukaryota; Metazoa; Chordata; Mammalia; Rodentia; Bathyergidae. The transcript has 4 exons. The record is from RefSeq and is a predicted model, not a curated record.